This 253-nucleotide ribosomal RNA is filed under the name uncultured bacterium. RNAcentral's name for it is "partial 16S ribosomal RNA". It matches the Rfam family "Bacterial small subunit ribosomal RNA", at positions 524 to 776 of the family's 1533-position model. The record is from RNAcentral.
UACGUAGGGUGCAAGCGUUGUCCGGAAUUAUUGGGCGUAAAGAGCUCGUAGGCGGUCUGUCGCGUCUGCUGUGAAAACCCGGGGCUUAACCCCGGGCCUGCAGUGGGUACGGGCAGACUAGAGUGCGGUAGGGGAGACUGGAAUUCCUGGUGUAGCGGUGAAAUGCGCAGAUAUCAGGAGGAACACCGGUGGCGAAGGCGGGUCUCUGGGCCGUAACUGACGCUGAGGAGCGAAAGCGUGGGGAGCGAACAGG